AGUUUAUGAACUUGUUAUAAGUGUAUAUUUUGAAAAUAUAAAAAAGGGUAAAAUUCCCUAUUAACUU
Molecule: transfer RNA, 67 nt
Filed under: Tasgius compressus
Lineage: Eukaryota; Metazoa; Arthropoda; Insecta; Coleoptera; Staphylinidae
Description: tRNA-Ser
Source: RNAcentral